This is a non-coding RNA of Mycena latifolia, 102 nucleotides long. The record is from the annotation of a GenBank genome assembly. NCBI's taxonomy places the organism in Eukaryota, Fungi, Basidiomycota, Agaricomycetes, Agaricales, Mycenaceae.
GGCCGCCUGGCGAAAUGGCAUCGCGUCUGACUACGAUUUGUGAGAAUUUGAGCUUACGCAAUUGGAAUCAGGAGAUUGCAGGUUCGACCCCUGCGGUGGUCA